RNAcentral lists this long non-coding RNA (838 nucleotides) under Apteryx rowi (Okarito brown kiwi). RNAcentral describes it as "lncRNA (ENSARWG00000006380.1)". Lineage: Eukaryota; Metazoa; Chordata; Aves; Apterygiformes; Apterygidae. The record is from RNAcentral.
CAGGAGAGCAGGGCUGGGCUCGGGGCUCUCGCUGCGCCAGCACGCGCACCCCGACCUGCAGGACAGCGCCCACAAGACCGUGCAGUGCCUGGAGCUCUUCGCCGAGACGGCCGACGCGCUGCUGCUCAAGCACGGGAAGAAGAUCGUGGACGAGCAGUUCGUGCUGAAGCGAGUGGCUGACGCUGCCAUCGACAUCUACGCCAUGGCCGUGGUGCUCUCCAGGGCCUCGCGGGCGCUGAGCCAGGGGCUCCCGGCGGCGCAGCACGAGCGGCUGCUCUGCGACACCUGGUGCCGGGAGGCCCACGAGCGGGUCUCUGCCACCCUCAGGGCUCCCCCCCCCAGCUUCACAGCGAUGCCUUAACCUGCCCCGCUCCGGGACGGGGCGACUGUUUUCAGGUCUCCUCUCUUUUUUGGAGGGGGGGAAACGCGCUGCUGCCCCCCACCUUGGGCAGGGUGCGGGGCCCCUUCUGCACCUCUCUGCCGGGGGGGGUGGUGAGGCCUCUGCUAUCAAUCUGCAGUAGUUUAGGGUCCCCUGGGCAUAAGAAAGGUGAUUUUUGAGGCUGCCCCUCAUCGCAGUGGCAGUUUUGAGGCUCCCCCUUCUCCCAGUAGUGGUCUCAAGUCUCCCCCUAUUUAAGUAGUGGUUUUGAGCCCCCCCCAGCAGCAGUUUUGAGGCUCCUCCCAUCCUAGCGGCUGUUUCAAGGGCCCCCAGAGCCUCCUUGCUGCCCCUGGGGGGCUCGGAGGAGCCAUGGCGGCUCCCCCCGGCCCCCCCCUCCAGCGUGUGCCUAAUUAAUUACUGCAGCUUAAUAAACGGUGACUGUGGGAACGGCGGCUGGUGGCA